Long non-coding RNA from Maylandia zebra (zebra mbuna), 754 nucleotides. RefSeq lists it as uncharacterized. The record is from RefSeq and is a predicted model, not a curated record. Lineage: Eukaryota; Metazoa; Chordata; Actinopteri; Cichliformes; Cichlidae.
UUUUCAGUCAGGUCACAAUGACUGGAAGGUUUAACUUCUUCAACAGAAUGGAAAUUAAUCAAACUGCUUUUCUAGUGGGCGUUUCUUCUUCUUCUUCUUGUUCUGGGGCAGCGUUCGUGCACACUUGUCGCAGAUAUUUCACCAUUUUAUGCCUCAGCCGCUGUGAAAAUGAUCCAGAAGUUGAGAUUCUUCGAAAGGACCUCGUAUCACGAAGAGGGGAGAAGAAAAAGCUCCAUCACAUGACGGAGGAUGUGCGUCGGUGGUUCACAAGCACUCAUUAAUCUGCAGCGCAGAAGGUGAUCUGGAGGAGAAGAUGCCCCAUUUCACAACAUAAUACAACAAGCUACACGAAGCAAUGAAGAGCUCAGCCUGUGUGGGGCUUUCCUCUGGGGAAGUGCUCCCUUGAUGGCCAACACAGCCAAACAACUACUUUGAUAAGAAACAUACAACAAUGAAGGGCCAUCCGGAGUUCUCGUCCGUGUUUGUAAGUAGUUCUACAAGAAUAACAUCCUCUCCUAACAGCACAGGCCCGGCACACUGCCUUCUUGCCCCAGCUCUGGCUCCCCCUAGCAGUCCCUCCAUAUUUCCUUGUUACUGCACACCAUAAUGCCCUGACCCUCCCUGAUCUAUUAUACAGUAAAAACACCUAAAUACAUCUUAAAACCUAAAUUUCUCUGUCUAAAUAAUAACUAUAGAGGCUCUACUUGCCUUCCAGCCAACAUUAGGCACCAUUGGCCACAUCAGAACAGAGGAU